AUUGAACGCUGGCGGCAGGCCUAACACAUGCAAGUCGAGCGGUAGAGAGGUGCUUGCAUCUCUUGAGAGCGGCGGACGGGUGAGUAAUGCCUAGGAAUCUGCCUAGUGGUGGGGGAUAACGUUCGGAAACGGACGCUAAUACCGCAUACGUCCUACGGGAGAAAGCGGGGGGAUCUUCGGACCUCGCGCCAUUAGAUGAGCCUAGGUCGGAUUAGCUAGUUGGUGAGGUAAUGGCUCACCAAGGCGACGAUCCGUAACUGGUCUGAGAGGAUGAUCAGUCACACUGGAACUGAGACACGGUUCCAGACUCCUACGGGAGGCAGCAGUGGGGAAUAUUGGACAAUGGGCGAAAGCCUGAUCCAGCCAUGCCGCCGUGUGUGAGAAGGU
RNAcentral lists this ribosomal RNA (387 nucleotides) under uncultured bacterium. Its description in RNAcentral is "bacterial SSU rRNA". It matches the Rfam family "Bacterial small subunit ribosomal RNA", at positions 30 to 415 of the family's 1533-position model. The record is from RNAcentral.